This 492-nucleotide ribosomal RNA is filed under the name uncultured bacterium. RNAcentral describes it as "partial 16S ribosomal RNA". It matches the Rfam family "Bacterial small subunit ribosomal RNA", at positions 29 to 507 of the family's 1533-position model. The record is from RNAcentral.
AGUGAACGCUGGCGGUAGGCCUAACACAUGCAAGUCGAACGGCAGCACAGUAAGAGCUUGCUCUUACGGGUGGCGAGUGGCGGACGGGUGAGGAAUACAUCGGAAUCUACUUUUUCGUGGGGGAUAACGUAGGGAAACUUACGCUAAUACCGCAUACGACCUACGGGUGAAAGCAGGGGAUCUUCGGACCUUUCGCGAUUGAAUGAGCCGGUGUCGGAUUAGCUAGUUGGCGGGGUAAGGGCCCACCAAGGCGACGAUCCGUAGCGGGUCUGAGAGGAUGAUCAGCCACACUGGAACUGAGACACGGUCCAGACUCCUACGGGAGGCAGCAGUGGGGAAUAUUGGACAAUGGGCGCAAGCCUGAUCCAGCCAUACCGCGUGGGUGAAGAAGGCCUUCGGGUUGUAAAGCCCUGUUGUUGGGAAAGAAAAGCAGCAGGUUAAUACCUCGCUGUUCUGACGGUACCCAAAGAAUAAGCACCGGCUAACUUCGUG